UAGCAAGUUACUUAUUACCUUGAUACUGAACACGUCAGGUUUGGUAGAACCUCUCAACUGAAUAUAAGAGUGGUUUGUGCUGCUUCGUCGGCCGCAGGAACCGCAGGAAGUUCAAGUUCCGAAGGCAACUUCAACCCGUAUGAGGUGCUUGGUGUGAGCCCCAUUGCAGGAUUUGAGGUGGUCAAUGAGGCAUAUGCAAGAAAACGCAAGGAUGCACAGGAGAGAAGGGAUGAAGCAACUGCUGCCCAAUUAGAAGAGGCGCAUGACAAAUUGUUGAUGGCAGAAUUGGAAAACUGAAAGAAGGGUGUGACAUCUGGUUCCUUUGAGGUUUCUAAGUAUAUCAAGUAUGCCGAUAAGCAGCCAAUAGUACCAUGGUGGCCAAGAUCUGUCUUUGCAUUUCAUCAUAGCAUUAUAAAGUAGUGCCGUUACGAACUCUUCUUUGCAGUCCGAUUGUAUACUUUACCAAUUUAUUACUGUGCGUUGUAUAUUAGUAUUGAAGAUGCU
Rhododendron vialii is the source of this 504-nucleotide long non-coding RNA. RefSeq lists it as uncharacterized. The transcript has 4 exons. Lineage: Eukaryota; Viridiplantae; Streptophyta; Magnoliopsida; Ericales; Ericaceae. The record is from RefSeq and is a predicted model, not a curated record.